AACGAACGCUGGCGGCAUGCCUAACACAUGCAAGUCGAACGAGACCUUCGGGUCUAGUGGCGCACGGGUGCGUAACGCGUGGGAAUCUGCCCUUGGGUUCGGAAUAACAGUUAGAAAUGACUGCUAAUACCGGAUAAUGUCUUCGGACCAAAGAUUUAUCGCCCAGGGAUGAGCCCGCGUAGGAUUAGCUAGUUGGUGAGGUAAAGGCUCACCAAGGCGACGAUCCUUAGCUGGUCUGAGAGGAUGAUCAGCCACACUGGGACUGAGACACGGCCCAGACUCCUACGGGAGGCAGCAGUGGGGAAUAUUGGACAAUGGGCGAAAGCCUGAUCCAGCAAUGCCGCGUGAGUGAUGAAGGCCUUAGGGUUAUAAAGCUCUUUUACCCGGGAUGAUAAUGACAGUACCGGGAGAAUAAGCCCGGCUAACUCCGUGCCAGCAGCCGCGGUAAU
This 449-nucleotide ribosomal RNA is filed under the name uncultured bacterium. Its description in RNAcentral is "bacterial SSU rRNA". It matches the Rfam family "Bacterial small subunit ribosomal RNA", at positions 29 to 524 of the family's 1533-position model. The record is from RNAcentral.